UGGUAUUAUUGCCAAUGAGACAACUAUCCACAAAAGACCAAAAUGACACAGACAUUAACAACUAUAGGUCACCGUACGGCCUUCAACAACUAGCAAAGCCCAUACCGCAUAGUCAGCUAUAAAAGGCCCCGAUAUGACAAUGUAAAACAAUUCAAACGAGAAAACUAACGGCCUUAUUUAUGUAAAAAAAAGAACGAAAAACAAAUAUGUAACACACAAACAAACGACAACCACUGAAUUACAGGCUCCUGACUUGGGACAGGCACAUACAUAAAUAAUGUGGCGGGGUUAAACAUGUUAGCGGGAUCCCAACCCUCCCCCUAACCUGGGACAGUGGUAUAACAGUACAACAUAAGAACGAACUAUAAAAAACAAUUGAAAAUGGCUUAACUCAUCAGAUGGACA
RNAcentral lists this long non-coding RNA (405 nucleotides) under Mytilus galloprovincialis (Mediterranean mussel). Lineage: Eukaryota; Metazoa; Mollusca; Bivalvia; Mytilida; Mytilidae. The record is from RNAcentral.